Molecule: ribosomal RNA, 607 nt
Filed under: Micrometula hyalostriata
Lineage: Eukaryota; Foraminifera; Allogromiidae
Description: bacterial SSU rRNA
Rfam family: Eukaryotic small subunit ribosomal RNA
Source: RNAcentral
GGGUCCGGACACACUGAGGAUUGACAGGCAAAAGAUACAAGUUUUCUUUGUGAGAGCUUGCAUUGUAAAAUAUGCGAGUCCUUUCAUGAUUAUGUGAUAGGUGGUGCAUGGCCGUUCUUAGUUCGUGGAGUGAUCUGUCUGCUUAAUUGCGUUUCACAACGAUUUAAAAUGCUAUGUUUUCUGUGUUUGCUGUUCGGUUUUAGCUCUUACGGGAGUUUUUAACUUUGAACGCACACGGCGUAGCUUAAAACAAUCGGAAAGCAACGAACGUGACCGCAACCUCUUGUUGCCUUUAUUUUUAAAAGCGUGGAAAAUUUUAUAUUUUCCUACGCUUGAAAAAGGCUUUAAAACUAGAGGGACCGCUGUUCUAUUCUCUUAAACCAGAGGAAGAUUGCGGCAAUAACAGGUCUGUGAUGCCCUCAGAUGUUCCGGGCUGCACACGUGCUACAAUGAUUGUUGCAGUGAGCAUCUAUUUUCAAACGCUACCGUUGCGGAUUUUGUGAGAAGGGGGAUUUGUUUUAAAGCUUCGNCAGAGAAGCAGGUUCUUUUUUUUCACAAUUUAUUCCGCGUUACGUGUCAGCUAAACCUGCUUCGAAAGCAAGUAGGU